This is a long non-coding RNA of Gallus gallus (chicken), 1743 nucleotides long. RefSeq lists it as uncharacterized. The transcript has 3 exons. Lineage: Eukaryota; Metazoa; Chordata; Aves; Galliformes; Phasianidae. The record is from RefSeq and is a predicted model, not a curated record.
CACUUUCCUCCUGCACAAGGAUGGGUGCUCAGCUGCCCUCCAGCGCCAGCACCCCGAUGAUGGGGGUAUGGCCACCUUCACCCUCUUUCAGGUGACCCCAACUGAUAAUGGCACCUAUAGGUGCUCCUACCUCAUCAAAGGCUACUUCCCUUACUGUCCUCACCCCUUGGGGACAACGUCACUCUGGAGGUGACACCCACAUCUGCACACCCAGGUAGGUGUCAGCUCCCAUUUGCAUGUCCUCAGUGACACCCAUGUGUGGCACUGUCUCUGCAUCCCAUAGCUGUGGGGAUGAUGUUUGGAGAUGGGGACUUCCAUAUCACCCGGACCCCACAGGUGCUGCCGUGGAGUCCCACAGGAACCUGUGGUGGCAGUGGCAGGGGGCUGUGCUGUCGCCUUUGUGUUCAUCCCCCUCCUCAUCAUCUUCUUCCUCCUCACUACCCGCAGAUGCCAGAGGUUGAGAGAUAAGCGCCAUGGUGCACCCCCAGAAGGCCCGAGGCUGUGCAGCUCCAGGCGCCACGCAGUGACAGCGACUGUCUGACCUAUGUUGAGCUGCAAGCGGAGCCCCCGACAACUCGGUGCCCUGGUCCUCCUGCUGACCCCCAACCCCCCACUAUCUACGCUGAUGUGCGCACUGGGAGACCCCACUGAUGUCUCCCAUAUGUGUGGACAUGCACGUGGAUGUUGUGUGCACAGAUGCACUUCAACCGUGCACACUGCUGGUGUGCUGUGUGUGCUUACAACCACGUGUGCAAUACAUGCAUGUACCACUGCAUGUGUUCAUGUGAAUUCCAUGUGUGUACACCAUCACACGUCCUCAAUUAAUGUACACAUGUGUGCUUUGUGCUCUGUGCCUCUGUAUGUGUUUGUGUGCCUCUUACGCGUACACUGAUACAUGUACACAAUAGUGCACACGUGUGUCCUUAUCCUUACCAUGUGCCCUGUGUCUGCACCACAUCUGUCCCCACAGCAAACUCUAAGGAUGCACAUGUGCUCCCCAUGGCACAUCUUCAUUACUCCAACCCAAACCAGCAGCCAUCCCGCAACAUUUCUGGUACAGGACUCCCACUUCUGGAGAGUUCCCCUUCUCCCCCUCCCCCCCAACCCCCCACUCCUGUGGGAGAAAUCCUAUUCUGAAGGGUUUAUUCUUCUUUUUGAAGGCGGAUUCCCAUUUCUGGAAGGUUUUACCCUUCCUCUUCCUCAGGAGGGUUUUAUUCCAUCUUUUCAGGACAAUUCACAGUUCUAGACUAUUUUUCCUGACCUUUGGGCAGGAUUUACCAUUUCAGAAGAUUUUGCCAUCAUUCCCAGCAGAAUUAUUUCUUGUGGAUGCGUUUAUCUGAUCUUUUAAGGAAAAUUCUCUUUCCUGGAAGGUUACAUCCUCCUUUUGAGGUAGGCUUCUUGCUUCUGGGUAGUUUGAUACAGUUCUUAUAGCGUAAAGUUCCCAUUCUAGAGUGUGUGGGGUUGGAGAAAACAUUGAGGGAUCAAAUGGAGUUUUGUUUUUAUUUUUAGUGCUGGAUGAAGGCCUGGGUGCUGAGUGGAGGUCAUGGGGUGAAUGGAGGUUUGGGGGCCAGAGGAAGUUUUGGAGGAUGACCUGGGAUGUUGAGGCUGUAUGUAGAACACUGGAGAUGUAUGCAGAUUUUAGAUGAAGAUGGAGAUCUUGGGUGUUGGUGGAGGGUUUUGUGGUGGAUAAUGAUUUGUAGGGUGGAUGACAAUGAAUGGGGAAGGGAAGGGAAGGCGCGGGAA